Molecule: ribosomal RNA, 233 nt
Filed under: uncultured bacterium
Lineage: Bacteria
Description: partial 16S ribosomal RNA
Rfam family: Bacterial small subunit ribosomal RNA
Source: RNAcentral
CGGGUGAGUAACGCGUGAGGAACCCGCCUCAAAGAGGGGGACAACAGUUGGAAACGACUGCUAAUACCGCAUAAGCCCACGGCUCGGCAUCGAGCAGAGGGAAAAGGAGCAAUCCGCUUUGAGAUGGCCUCGCGUCCGAUUAGCUAGUUGGUGAGGUAAUGGCCCACCAAGGCGACGAUCGGUAGCCGGACUGAGAGGUUGAACGGCCACAUUGGGACUGAGACACGGCCCAG